GUGUUGAAAUGCAUGGUGGGAAAUAAGUGUGAAAUUCACUAGCUGUUCCUGCAACGGUAAAAGUCCGAGCGCCACCCAACAU
Molecule: non-coding RNA, 82 nt
Submitted as: unclassified sequences
Source: Rfam